This 223-nucleotide unclassified non-coding RNA is filed under the name Hevea brasiliensis (rubber tree). Lineage: Eukaryota; Viridiplantae; Streptophyta; Magnoliopsida; Malpighiales; Euphorbiaceae. The record is from RNAcentral.
UCCUCAUCGCAGUUUCUCUGAAGAAGUUUCUGUCUUGGAUAGUUAUUUUGGGAAGCUAGGUACUGGCAGCAAGGCUUAUAUAAUGGGUGGGAUUGACAGCCCACAGAAAUGGCAUAUGUACUCUGCAUCUGCUGCUGAUUCUACAAUCUCUUGUGACCAUGUUUACACUAUAGAGAUGUGCAUGACUGGUUUGGACCGAGAAAAGGCUUCUGUUUUUUACAAA